Molecule: ribosomal RNA, 1372 nt
Filed under: uncultured bacterium
Lineage: Bacteria
Description: bacterial SSU rRNA
Rfam family: Bacterial small subunit ribosomal RNA
Source: RNAcentral
GAUGAACGCUGGCGGCGUGCCUAAUACAUGCAAGUCGAGCGAACAGACAAGGAGCUUGCUCCUUUGACGUUAGCGGCGGACGGGUGAGUAACACGUGGGUAACCUACCUAUAAGACUGGGAUAACUUCGGGAAACCGGAGCUAAUACCGGAUAAUAUUUCGAACCGCAUGGUUCGAUAGUGAAAGAUGGUUUUGCUAUCACUUAUAGAUGGACCCACGCCGUAUUAGCUAGCUGGUAAGGUAACGGCUUACCAAGGCGACGAUACGUAGCCGACCUGAGAGGGUGAUCGGCCACACUGGAACUGAGACACGGUCCAGACUCCUACGGGAGGCAGCAGUAGGGAAUCUUCCGCAAUGGGCGAAAGCCUGACGGAGCAACGCCGCGUGAGUGAUGAAGGUCUUCGGAUUGUAAAACUCUGUUAUUAGGGAAGAACAUACGUGUAAGUAACUAUGCACGUCUUGACGGUACCUAAUCAGAAAGCCACGGCUAACUACGUGCCAGCAGCCGCGGUAAUACGUAGGUGGCAAGCGUUAUCCGGAAUUAUUGGGCGUAAAGCGCGCGUAGGCGGUUUUUUAAGUCUGAUGUGAAAGCCUACGGCUCAACCGUGGAGGGUCAUUGGAAACUGGAAAACUUGAGUGCAGAAGAGGAAAGUGGAAUUCCAUGUGUAGCGGUGAAAUGCGCAGAGAUAUGGAGGAACACCAGUGGCGAAGGCGACUUUCUGGUCUGUAACUGACGCUGAUGUGCGAAAGCGUGGGGAUCAAACAGGAUUAGAUACCCUGGUAGUCCACGCCGUAAACGAUGAGUGCUAAGUGUUAGGGGGUUUCCGCCCCUUAGUGCUGCAGCUAACGCAUUAAGCACUCCGCCUGGGGAGUACGACCGCAAGGUUGAAACUCAAAGGAAUUGACGGGGACCCGCACAAGCGGUGGAGCAUGUGGUUUAAUUCGAAGCAACGCGAAGAACCUUACCAAAUCUUGACAUCCUUUGACAACUCUAGAGAUAGAGCCUUCCCCUUCGGGGGACAAAGUGACAGGUGGUGCAUGGUUGUCGUCAGCUCGUGUCGUGAGAUGUUGGGUUAAGUCCCGCAACGAGCGCAACCCUUAAGCUUAGUUGCCAUCAUUAAGUUGGGCACUCUAAGUUGACUGCCGGUGACAAACCGGAGGAAGGUGGGGAUGACGUCAAAUCAUCAUGCCCCUUAUGAUUUGGGCUACACACGUGCUACAAUGGACAAUACAAAGGGCAGCGAAACCGCGAGGUCAAGCAAAUCCCAUAAAGUUGUUCUCAGUUCGGAUUGUAGUCUGCAACUCGACUACAUGAAGCUGGAAUCGCUAGUAAUCGUAGAUCAGCAUGCUACGGUGAAUACGUUCCCGGGUCU